Molecule: ribosomal RNA, 414 nt
Filed under: uncultured bacterium
Lineage: Bacteria
Description: bacterial SSU rRNA
Rfam family: Bacterial small subunit ribosomal RNA
Source: RNAcentral
CUUGACGGUACCAGAGGAAUAAGCACCGGCUAACUCCGUGCCAGCAGCCGCGGUAAUACGGAGGGUGCAAGCGUUAUCCGGAUUCACUGGGUUUAAAGGGUGCGUAGGUGGGCAGGUAAGUCCGUGGUGAAAUCUCUGAGCUUAACUCAGAAACUGCCGUGGAUACUAUUUGUCUUGAAUAUUGUGGAGGUGAGCGGAAUAUGUCAUGUAGCGGUGAAAUGCUUAGAUAUGACAUAGAACACCAAUUGCGAAGGCAGCUCACUACACAAUUAUUGACGCUGAGGCACGAAAGCGUGGGGAUCAAACAGGAUUAGAUACCCUGGUAGUCCACGCCCUAAACGAUGAUUACUCGACAUCAGCGAUACACUGUUGGUGUCUGAGCGAAAGCAUUAAGUAAUCCACCUGGGAAGUACG